This 512-nucleotide ribosomal RNA is filed under the name uncultured bacterium. Its description in RNAcentral is "partial 16S ribosomal RNA". It matches the Rfam family "Bacterial small subunit ribosomal RNA", at positions 28 to 507 of the family's 1533-position model. The record is from RNAcentral.
GAUGAACGCUGGCGGCGUGCCUAAUACAUGCAAGUCGAACGAAACUUCUUUAUCACCGAGUGCUUGCACUCACCGAUAAAGAGUUGAGUGGCGAACGGGUGAGUAACACGUGGGCAACCUGCCCAAAAGAGGGGGAUAACACUUGGAAACAGGUGCUAAUACCGCAUAACCAUAGUUACCGCAUGGUAACUAUGUAAAAGGUGGCUAUACUACCGCUUUUGGAUGGGCCCGCGGCGCAUUAGCUAGUUGGUAGGGUAAAGGCUUACCAAGGCAAUGAUGCGUAGCCGAAUUGAGAGGUUGAUCGGCCACAUUGGGACUGAGACACGGCCCAAACUCCUACGGGAGGCAGCAGUAGGGAAUCUUCCACAAUGGGCGAAAGCCUGAUGGAGCAACGCCGCGUGGGUGAAGAAGGUCUUCGGAUCGUAAAACCCUGUUGUUAGAGAAGAAAGUGCGUGAGAGUAACUGUUCACGUUUCGACGGUAUCUAACCAGAAAGCCACGGAUAACUACGUG